This 400-nucleotide ribosomal RNA is filed under the name phytoplankton environmental sample. Its description in RNAcentral is "partial small subunit ribosomal RNA". It matches the Rfam family "Eukaryotic small subunit ribosomal RNA", at positions 587 to 987 of the family's 1831-position model. The record is from RNAcentral.
AGCUCCAGUAGCGUAUAUGAAAUUUGUUGCGGUUGAAAAGCUCGUAGUCGGAAGUAGGGCGCGCACGCUUUCGGUCACGCCUCGCGCAUGUACUGAACGGGCGCGCCCCGACGGUCGAAGGGCGCCUCCUGGGCUUCGUUGUUCGGGGCCGCUGUUCGGCAAGGUUACUUUGAGGAACUUUGGGUGUUCAAGGCACGAGGACCUUCGUGACUUCACUAGCAUGGAAUAACAUCGAUGGGCUCCUGCCCAUCCUGUUGGUGUGAGGGCUUGGAGCAACGAUCGAUAGGAGUGGCUCGGGAACGUCCGUACCGACGGAGGAGAGGUGAAAUUCUUGGACCCCGUCGAGACGAACCUAUGCGAAAGCAGUCGUUAAGGACACGUCCUUGUGAUCAAGAACGAA